AAAGGAAAGCGGGGUCGGCGUUAUCUAUCUUGUGAAAGCAAAGAAAGAGAGCAGUACUAUUUGUUUUGUGCGAAUACGUGGGGGUCGUAUACAAUGUGGGUGAUAGAUGCGCUAACUUGCGCCUUUGCGUAAUUGUUGGGUGCAAUUUCUUCCUUCUUCGAUUCGUGACUCGCAGACCAGUCUGGUUAUGGCUAACGACACUUUCCUUUUUUUUCUAUUAUUUUUUCCUUUAAGUUUGGGUUGGUGCCAAGUUCAAACUUUCCUGUAUGAUUUUCUGAGCAGAGAGGAUUUUGGAAGGUUUGAUUCCAAGAAAGUUGGAACUUGUAAGUUUACUGUAACGAUUUUUGUUGUCAGCAGUGACAGAUUUUGGUUGGGUUUUGGAUUUGAUUCUUACUUAUGUUUGAUGGUGCGUCAAAUUUGGUACUUUGGGAAGCUCUGGAAUUAGUUUUUGAUAUAAAGUCUGCAAAAAUUUGAAUUUGGCGGACCACAGGGCACAGGGAUUUAGGAGGAGAGCUUAAUCUUAUUAUUAUUGAUUUAAAUAAUUGUAGUUCCACUAAUUUUGGAUGGGGUUUUUUUUUUUUUCCCCUUUUUGGGUUAUUUUGUGUACUUCAUAGACCCGUGCUCUGUGACGUUUUUCUCUUUGUUUUUCUAGUACUAUUAUGUAAAAACUUCUGCAUAUCAGAGUUAUGGGAUCUUUCAAGACUUCACUGUUUUUUUUUUUUUUCGUUUUGGGUAUAUGAUUCCAUUGAAUUUUGGGUUUCGUGGAUUAAUUGCUCUGAAGACUUUCCUCCAAUGGGUUUGGAUUUUGGUCUCUGAUCGAUAGCAGCACCGCGUGAAGUCGUGGUCGUGAAGUCUUCCACCAUUUCCUUGGAGGGGUAUUUUGGGUAUUAUUCGUAGAUGGAGGUUGGACGCUGCCGAUAUUGUUGCUUCAAGCGAUUUCAUGCUACUAACAUAUGAAUUUCUAGCUUCGCUUUUUUUAUUAAUUAAUAGUAGUAUUAUUCAGUUAUAAUUUCCUGUAAGUUUAAUGGAUAUAAUUCAACAUGGUGUAAUUAAUUUGAUGCAAUGGUUCGUUCCAUCGUCAGGUCGAUGAUGCUUCAUGCAUGAAAUUUCGUUCAUCUGAUCAUAUGGGCGAGUAAGUUACCGGGGUAUGAGGACUUGAUGCAUGGUUUGUGUGAAAAAUCUCUCUGCAAACGAGUGGCCGGAAAAAAGGAUGGAAUAAACGCAGCCCAGUUCGGCAACCGGUGGGUCUGAUCAGAAAUUAUUGAUAAAUUGAACAAAUUUACAUGGUGGGGUGUUCAUGGCAUUUUAUGAAUUGUUUUGGUUUAAUUGGAAAUGACGAUGGUAUAAGAUUUGCGAUUUUCUUGAAUUUUGGCACCAAAUUCUUACAGUUUCGGGUAAGCUUCGUGGUAGAUGGGUGCUUUCACCAUCUGAGUUUCUGAAGUCUCCAAAAUAUCAACAAUCUCUUCAAUUAUGUACCCCAAGUGUUUUUUUAAUCAUUUGGGAAGUGCUGAAAAUUCCCAGAUCUGGUGAAGAUUAAAUUCCUUAGCUGGAUCAUGUGUUGAGUUAGAAACAAAUCUGGUGGAGGUUGCCAGUUGGAUACAUGGGUUUGGAAAUGAUAAACGUAAAUGACGGUCUGUUGAUGGUGUACGAAUCUGUAUUUUGCGUUUUGAAGAGGAAUUUUGGGCCGAUGCGUCUCUGCGACCAAUACCGUCAGCCUGUGCCGAUCACUUGGCUGAUCUUCACAGACCAAAUCCCUGCUCAAAGAGGACAACCAGGACCCAGCUGAGCUGAACAACAGCCAACAAGCAGCAUAUUUAGGAUUAUGAUGCUUCCGGCUCCAGGGCAAGCAAGCAUGCUCUUGGUGGGUAUUUUAUAUUUGGUAGAUCAGGAUAUGGCUCGCUGCUUAGAAAUUAUAGAGGGUGAGGAAAAGCAGGAGUAAGAGGAGGUCGAGAAAGGAAUAACCAAGCUGUAAUAAUUUAGGGAAGAUGGUUGGCCCCUGUAGCUUAAGUUGCUUCUGCUCAAAGUCUUAACUCUUCAGAUUGUAGCUUGUACAUCUAAUUCUAAACAUGGAUCUUCUUGUUUGUC
Molecule: small RNA, 2085 nt
Filed under: Theobroma cacao (cacao)
Lineage: Eukaryota; Viridiplantae; Streptophyta; Magnoliopsida; Malvales; Malvaceae
Description: sRNA Tc03v2_g016360
Source: RNAcentral